CAGUAGCCGCGGUAACACGUAGGGUGCAAGCGUUAAUCGGAAUUACUGGGCGUAAAGCGUGCGCAGGCGGCUAUGCAAGACAGAUGUGAAAUCCCCGGGCUCAACCUGGGAACUGCAUUUGUGACUGCAUGGCUAGAGUACGGUAGAGGGGGAUGGAAUUCCGCGUGUAGCAGUGAAAUGCGUAGAUAUGCGGAGGAACACCGAUGGCGAAGGCAAUCCCCUGGACCUGUACUGACGCUCAUGCACGAAAGCGUGGGGAGCAAACAGGAUUAGAUACCCGUGUAGUCCCUGUCUCUUAUAC
This 301-nucleotide ribosomal RNA is filed under the name uncultured bacterium. RNAcentral's name for it is "partial 16S ribosomal RNA". It matches the Rfam family "Bacterial small subunit ribosomal RNA", at positions 509 to 807 of the family's 1533-position model. The record is from RNAcentral.